This 800-nucleotide ribosomal RNA is filed under the name uncultured bacterium. Its description in RNAcentral is "bacterial SSU rRNA". It matches the Rfam family "Bacterial small subunit ribosomal RNA", at positions 8 to 815 of the family's 1533-position model. The record is from RNAcentral.
AGAGUUUGAUCAUGGCUCAGGAUAAACGCUGGCGGCGCACAUAAGACAUGCAAGUCGAACGGACUUAACUCAUUCUUUUAGAUUGAGAGCGGUUAGUGGCGGACUGGUGAGUAACGCGUAAGGAACCUACCUUUUAGAGGGGAAUAACAAUGAGAAAUCAUUGCUAAUACCGCAUAUGCCAUAGGCAACACAUGUUGCUAGUGGGAAAGGAGCAAUCCGCUAGAAGAUGGCCUUGCGUCUGAUUAGAUAGUUGGUGGGGUAACGGCCUACCAAGUCGACGAUCAGUAGCCGGACUGAGAGGUUGAACGGCCACAUUGGGACUGAGAUACGGCCCAGACUCCUACGGGAGGCAGCAGUCGGGAAUAUUGCGCAAUGGAGGGAACUCUGACGCAGUGACGCCGCGUAUAGGAAGAAGGUUUUCGGAUUGUAAACUAUUGUCGUUAGGGAAGAGAAAGGACAGUACCUAAGGAGGAAGCUCCGGCUAACUACGUGCCAGCAGCCGCGGUAAUACGUAGGGAGCGAGCGUUAUCCGGAAUUAUUGGGUGUAAAGGGUGCGUAGACGGGAAUACAAGUUAGUUGUGAAAUCCCUCGGCUCAACUGAGGAACUGCAACUAAAACUAUAUUUCUUGAGUGCAGGAGAGGUAAGUGGAAUUCCUAGUGUAGCGGUGAAAUGCGUAGAUAUUAGGAGGAACACCAGUGGCGAAGGCGACUUACUGGACUGUAACUGACGUUGAGGCACGAAAGUGUGGGGAGCAAACAGGAUUAGAUACCCUGGUAGUCCACACCGUAAACGAUGGAUA